This is a non-coding RNA of Camelina sativa (false flax), 712 nucleotides long. Lineage: Eukaryota; Viridiplantae; Streptophyta; Magnoliopsida; Brassicales; Brassicaceae. The record is from RefSeq and is a predicted model, not a curated record.
UGAUUUGUUCAUAUUGUUGUUUUAGUUUUGAUUUUAUCACGUUUUCAACUCAGAUGAUGUUUAGAUAUGUUUGAUUUUGAAUUUUAAACAUAAACAAGUGUUCGAUUUUUGUAUUAUAACUUUACUUAUGUAUUUGCUUUAAUUGGGUGUAAUUAAUUUUGUAAUUGUUUCUGAGCUUUUACUCAUUUCAAUGUAUUACGAACAUGUUUAUGUGGGUUAGGAUUUGUUGAUGUCGAUUCUUAACUUGGCUUUGUUCUAUGUUUAAAUUUUACUCAAGUUUGUGGAUUUUUUUUAUUUGUGCUUCUAAUUGCAAGAUCUGCAAUGUAGAUGGAUGACACCAGGAGCCACACACAAGCGCAUCAGCAUAAAGAAGAGGGCAAAUCAGAGACCCAUGUACAUUGGCGAGGCUGAGUAGGACACUCUAGUGGAGUACUGGGAAACAGAACCAGAAAAGAAGAAGAGAAAGAAUGCUAGAAACCACUUAUCUAAUCAUGAUGGCAUAGGGGUUCACAAGCAUUGUGUAUGUCCUCGACGUUUUUUGCAGAUUGAGCAUGAGAUGAUGAUUGAGUCUGGUUUGGAUGAAGCACCAGCCUUCACUGAUCUUGUGCGGAGGACACACUGACGCAAAGAUGGAAUUUUCACGGAAGUGCUGAUCUCUGUUUUGGAGACUAACUUCAAGCGACUCAACACCAAUGUUUAUGGUUAUAGACGA